This 516-nucleotide ribosomal RNA is filed under the name Bachia bicolor. RNAcentral describes it as "partial 16S ribosomal RNA". It matches the Rfam family "Bacterial large subunit ribosomal RNA", at positions 1811 to 2608 of the family's 2925-position model. Lineage: Eukaryota; Metazoa; Chordata; Lepidosauria; Squamata; Gymnophthalmidae. The record is from RNAcentral.
AAACAUAGCCUUUAGCAACAAAAGUAUUAAAGGUGACGCCUGCCCAGUGAUCUAUUAAACGGCCGCGGGAUCCUCCACCGUGCAAAGGUAGCAUAAUCACUUGUCUCCUAAAUAGGGACUAGUAUGAAUGGCCAAAUGAGGAUUUACCUGUCUCUUGUAGUUAAUCUAUGAAAUUAAUCUUUUAGUACAAAAGCUAAAAUAAUAUUAUAAGACGAAAAGACCCUGUGGAACUUUAGACAACAAACAAACUAUGUUUCCCUUGUCUUUAGUUGGGGCAACUUUGGAAAAAACUUCAACUUCCAAUAAUUCUUAAGGUGGACACACCAACAACAUUAAAUAUGACCCAGUAAUACUGAUCAAAGAAACAAGCUACCCCAGGGAUAACAGCGCCAUCCCCUCUUAGAGCCCCCAUCGAUGAGCGGGGUUUACGACCUCGAUGUUGGAUCAGGGCCCCCAAACAGUGCAGAAGCUGUUAACGGUUUGUUUGUUCAACAAUUAAUGCCCUACGUGAUCUGA